This 643-nucleotide long non-coding RNA is filed under the name Bos taurus (domestic cattle). Its description in RNAcentral is "long non-coding RNA NONBTAT010697". Lineage: Eukaryota; Metazoa; Chordata; Mammalia; Artiodactyla; Bovidae. The record is from RNAcentral.
UAAAAACUUUUUUUAAAGUAUGAGUUUAGGAAGUGGAAUUCUAUAGCAUGCUUUUUCACAUGUCACCUUUUGUGUUUAAACCACCCUUAGCCAUCACUUGAGAAAAGAGUUUGAGUUCAUUUGUGGUUUUGAGUAACAAACCUCCUUCGACAAAUUGCCCUUUUUCUUUGCUGUGUUUUAAAAAUGCAGGCUGUGACUUUUUUGGGGGAAAUGUACAGGUUGUAAGUUUUCUUUCUUGAUUUUGCAAAUCAGGCUAUGUUGUCCACACAGGGUCCUUAACUGGCAUGAAUCAUGAGGCCUAGCAAAAUGUACCGACCAAUGACCUGUUGUUUUUUGUCUUCGUAACAGUCUCUGAGGGACACAUGGCUUCCUCAGCUGUAGUGUCUGCACCUGUCACUUUCAGAUUGACACCUGCAGGUGUUUUUCUUUCUUUUGGAAGGGGAGAAUGGAGAAGGGGAGUAGGGGAAUGGAUAUAAUAUUUUAGAUGGUAUUUUUAAGUUCAGGUUCAUGGCUAGCUUGCUCUAGAGACAGUAAAAGACUCAUUAUGUGGGUUUUUUUUUUUUAUCGUCUGUCACAAUUCUAUAUAUUUCCUCAGCCUUUGAAUUGGCUCUGAAGAAAUCAUGGCUCUAUGUUAUAAAAGUCA